GCCACCGGGGCCUGAGUCUCCGUUGGCUCUCCAGCGAAGCGGGGUACCCGCCUCGGAGAGCUGGGAGGGGGCCCAGCGGGGCUCCUGGCGAGGCGCCCGCACGCUGUGAGCCCUCCCCAAACGGCAGCUUAAAUUACAAACAAAAAGAGAAGCUGGGGAAGUCAGGAUGGGCCCAGGCUGCUUGUGACAGGGACCCACAUCCAGGCAGGAGGGAGGCCUGCUCUUCCCACCUUCCAGCUCUCGGAGCCACAUGCCCCGCAGCCCGCAGGCCUCCGUCCAGCUGCGCCUGGGCCGACAGUGUCCCCAUCUUCCCGGCGGGGCGAGGACCAGAGGGGCGCCUGCCAUCCUGCUCUCACCAUUGGGGUGAGCCCCUCUCUCAGCUCCCCCCGCCCGACGCUGUGUCAGCAGCUUGAGAACAAACCCCCCGGGAGUGGGUGCUGCUGGGAACACACCCUCAUGCGUGGUGCACGGCGUCCAGACUGUCAUUCCUUUCGGAUUUCUGGAAACCUCGAAGCUGAGGACUUUCCAGCAGGAAAGGCCGGGAGACCAGUCUCCACCAGGGGCAUCUCCCAGCAGCGUCCGAUUUGGCCGCUGCCCUUCUGGGUCCGGGGAGGCAGCAGGUGGCACCCAGCAGGCCUGUGCGGGUUUGCCGCGGGUGGCGUGCAGACAGCAGACACCGGGCCACGGCCCCUGGGGUCCCCUGCCUCCCGCCUGCUCCCCUCUAGGACCCUCUACUCUCUUGACUCUCCCUGGGGCCCGGGAGACAGUGGUGGCUCAGGGUGAGAUUCUGGGACACCUAAAACCACCAGCUGAGUGGCAGCCGGGGGUGCGGCGUCCCCGGGGGGUUCCUGAGCCCUCUAUGUCCAGCUACUUCUGAAUUUCCGGCGGUGGGUCUGGGAAUCUGCCUUUGUGACAACCGUCCCCGAUGCACGUGCAGUGUUUCCUGGUGGGGAGAUGGUCGCACACGGAGGGGAAGGGACUUACCCACAGCUGAGAGGCUGCAGGACGCAAAGCCAGGUCUCCUGAUGUCCCCAGCACACGUUUCCCACCUCAUCGGGACACACUUUCUGGAAUGUGGAAUUUUCCGUAGGGACACGGAUCCAAUUUUACAAUAGGAGCUCUCCGAAGCCAGUAUCUUCUGUCAGAAAUUCAGGCCAUCGCCACUUUACCGGAGGAAGGGUGUUCCAGGGAGCAAGGGGUGUCUGCCGUCUCCCUGUCCCCAUGCCCAGAUCCUCUGCGUGUUACUUUCCUGCCCAGCGGGGGCCAAGAGGUCCUGGCAGGGCCUGCUCGCCGGCAGAUGUCCCUGCAAACCUGUCCCAAGGCUGCUAGGAGGACACCGGACACACAGGGAGCGGGGAGAGGCGGCCCCUGAGCCCGAGAGCCGAGAUGGGCACUGAGCGGUCAGUGGGGUGCGGUGGGGGGUGUGGCAUUUCUCCCCCAAGGGAGUCACAGGCACAAGGCCGACUCUGUCACGACGGGGGUCUUCAAGGCUUUCUUCUCCACUGCCUGAGGCUUGGAGAAAGUUCUUCUUGUUCCAGGGAGCCAGACCCAGAGGGAGCGUCAUUAGCUGCCUAUGGAAAGAGGAAACGCCUUCUGGAUAUUUCUUUCCCCACCAGCAAGGAUAAUCAUGCUGUUGAAGCCAUUUAUUGAGUGUUAUUAUGUGCUAAACCCCUUCUGUGCCCUACAGACACAGUCC
Molecule: long non-coding RNA, 1696 nt
Filed under: Equus caballus (horse)
Lineage: Eukaryota; Metazoa; Chordata; Mammalia; Perissodactyla; Equidae
Description: lncRNA (ENSECAG00000046728.1)
Source: RNAcentral